UAUUGGUGGAAUGUGGAGAUCGCCGGU
This 27-nucleotide small RNA is filed under the name Bombyx mori (domestic silkworm). Its description in RNAcentral is "piRNA piR-bmo-1323483". Lineage: Eukaryota; Metazoa; Arthropoda; Insecta; Lepidoptera; Bombycidae. The record is from RNAcentral.